CGACAUUUACCUGAGAUACAGAAAAGCAGAUGGUUAGGAGCUGGUACACAAAUAGCAAAUGUUUUAGGAACUUUUAUAUUGCUAUGAUAAAAUCUGUUGAUCAACUAACAGAAGAGAUUGUUUGUGCUAACAUUUCCAGAGGGUCAGAGCCCAUGAUAACAGAGUGGAGGCAUAGUGGUUGAAAAUGGAAACUGAGGGCUUCCAUCUUGAACCACAAGCAGAGAGCAGACAGAGUGAACUAGGAUUCGCAUGUGGCUUUUGGAACCUGUGGUGGUUUGGAUGACAUGAUCCUCUUGGCUCACAUAUUUGAAUGUCUAAUUCCCUGUUGGACUGUCUAGGAAGGAUUAGGAGGUGUGUUACUGGGGUGGGCUUUAAAAUUUCAAAAGCUCACAUGUCCAGUUUUACUCUCUCUGCUUCCAUUUUGCAGGUCAAGUGUAAGCUCUUGGCUAUUUUUCCAGCACUAUAACUCCUGCCUGCCACCAUGCUCCCCAGCAGGAUGAUCCUGGACUCACCUUCUGAAACUGAUCUGUGAGUUGACAGCCCAGCUGGGCAAAACAGUGUCAACACAGUCCUCAGAAAGGAACCAAGAAAGGUCAAUGAGUGGGGAUAUUAGAAAAUAAGAGUGCUCUCUGCAACAAAUAGUCUUUUUUUUCUUAUCAAAUGCAAAGAACUACACACUUGCAUUCUGCUGAAGAUUGUCGACUUAAUUUAGAACUGAGCCUGAGUAUGGAGAUGCACUACUCUCUCUAGUAUUCAUGUUUAAAAGCUUAAUUCAUGGUGGCUUCAUGAAUCCACUACUUCCUAGAUGUGUGAUCUUACACUAAGUUUUUAUGUCUUAUCCUUUCAUAUGUAAAAUGUGGAUACUAACUGUACUGACUUCAGGGUUGUGCUGGGGUUAUGAUAUAUGCUAUAAAGUCUCUAUAGAGAAGACCCUCAAUAAGUGUCAGUUGUUAUUAUUACUACUUUCAUUAGUGGUGACUUAGGAAAAGGAUCCCCUUUUUGUCCAUUACUGUAUCCAC
Molecule: long non-coding RNA, 1019 nt
Filed under: Cricetulus griseus (Chinese hamster)
Lineage: Eukaryota; Metazoa; Chordata; Mammalia; Rodentia; Cricetidae
Description: lncRNA (ENSCGRG00015037997.1)
Source: RNAcentral